RNAcentral lists this ribosomal RNA (253 nucleotides) under uncultured bacterium. RNAcentral's name for it is "partial 16S ribosomal RNA". It matches the Rfam family "Bacterial small subunit ribosomal RNA", at positions 524 to 776 of the family's 1533-position model. The record is from RNAcentral.
UACGUAGGGUGCGAGCGUUAAUCGGAAUUACUGGGCGUAAAGCGUGCGCAGGCGGUUAUGUAAGACAGGGGUGAAAUCCCCGGGCUUAACCUGGGAACUGCGCUUGUGACUGCAUAACUCGAGUGUGGCAGAGGGGGGUGGAAUUCCACGUGUAGCAGUGAAAUGCGUAGAGAUGUGGAGGAACACCGAUGGCGAAGGCAGCCCCCUGGGUCAACACUGACGCUCAUGCACGAAAGCGUGGGGAGCAAACAGG